AGAGCGAUUUGUCUGGUUGAUUCCGUUAACGAACGAGACCACAGCCUACUAAAUAGAGCGCAUUAUGUUAACAUAGUGUGAUACUUCUUAGAGGGACAUUUCGGGUUUACCGAAAGGAAGUUUGUGGCAAUAACAGGUCUGUGAUGCCCUUAGAUGUUCUGGUCCGCACGCGCGCUACACUGACGACUUCAACAAGUUUUUUCUUUGAAAAAGUCCUUGGCUGGAAAGUCUGGGUAAUCUUUUAAACGGUCGUCGUGAUGGGGCUAGAUUCUUGCAAUUAUUAAUCUCCAACGAGGAACC
This 300-nucleotide ribosomal RNA is filed under the name Thraustochytriidae sp. RNAcentral describes it as "SSU rRNA". It matches the Rfam family "Eukaryotic small subunit ribosomal RNA", at positions 1303 to 1610 of the family's 1831-position model. Lineage: Eukaryota; Bigyra; Thraustochytrida; Thraustochytriidae. The record is from RNAcentral.